ACAAUCCCAUGUCUGCAACAAAAGGUGGAAUGGAAUCUCCCAACACUGCUCUGAGGGUGGGGGCAUGUUCUGUUUUGCCUAAAGCAGCAAAAUGUCCUGGCCUGGCCCAGCUUUAGGUUCUUACUUUACAACUUGGCCACACUCUACCAUCAAAAGCGUCCGUGAAAUAAAUGGACUGUAUACUCAGCGAACACUUGCAGCAGAGGCAGAUUUAGGGGUGUGCGACCGGUUCAGUCUCACUGUGUGUGGAGCUGCAGGGGCCCCAGCAGAGCCCUGGAGACAACAGAACGGUGAGCUCAUAAGCAGCUUAUGGGGUAUAAUAAUAUUCCCCCUUAGCACACUGGUCCUAUGGUAGCUUCUGUUUUCUCUUUUGGAAAAUAACCCAUCCCCUAUAUGAAGAGCCCCGAAGAGUCAUGUUAAUGUUUAGGGAGGUUUUUAAUGUUUGAUGUUUUACUGUGAUUUUAAUAUUCUGUUGGGAGCUGCCCAGAGUGGCUGGAGAAACCCAGUCAGAUGGGUGGGGUAUAAAUAUUCUUAUUCUUAUUCUUAUUCUUAUCAUCUUUUUCUUAUACAAGUUUGCAUGCUGAUAUGAGCCAUUGUUCUCUGAAACGGACACAGCAAACAGGGGUUCUUGUUUACCCUUACUUUCCUCAUCAAGGCUGAAUGUGGUUCACUUUGCCUCUUUGAGGGCAAGAAACUUCCCAGGAUUGCGGAAUUAGCCCCAAAGCCACACCAUAGCAAACAUAUAAACGCUCUAUAUGAAUGGAGCUUAAAACGCCUCACAUUUCUGCCAGCAAACAUGGCUAUCUAUAUAUGACCAGGAAGGCAAAACAGAAGAAAACCUUUUGCAUAAAGGGCAGCAAUGUUAUAUAGAGCACAUUAUACCGAAAUGUAAUAUGAAUCUACUAAGUGCACUGUGUUAUGUAUUGGAUGAACUAUUAUACAAAAAUAGUAAUAAUAAAAUAGUAAAAAAAGGUCUCACUUUUAUCCGAAGAUGAGCAAGUAAAGAAACAGAAAUUUGACAUAGUUAUAAUAAAUGAGAAUUAUAUUGAAGAUUUAAAAUUAUUUUUAUUUUUAAUUUAGCCUUUUAUGCUAUAUUCGGUUUUGCCUGGUUUCUCCCCAUCCCCCAACCCAGUACCCAUUACUAAGCACUAGAAAACAUUUUCAGGGAACAGCCAGAUCUUUAUAAUACAUUUUUCCUAUUAUCAACUUUACAAAAGCAUGAGGGAUCUAGCCAUAACCAUUAACCUGAUUUAGUCAAAUUAAAGCUAAUUUGCUCUUGACUUGCUUCCUGUACAAAUGAAUUCAUCAAUCAUAUUAAUGCAUUCACAGCAUCCUGAGAUUACUGGCAAUUCUCUUCUACUGUGCGAAUAUUUGCUAAUGUAAUUGCCAACCAUUUUGGAGGGGGUUUAUGCUCUUCCCUUUGUUCCUAAAUUUCUUGCAGCUUGCUCGUGUAAAAAAAUUACACCCAGGUAUGAUUACAUAACAAUCUAAGUAAUUAUAGCCACUAGUUUAGAUUACUUUAAGAAAGGAUUUGAUAAAGUCAUGGAAGUCUGGCCUAGCGGCGGUACAUACAGAUGGCAAAGUUAAACAUGAUUUUUGUCAGAUGGUUUGGCCUUGCAUAGCUGCUUUUUGUUUAAAAAAAUUACCAGUGCUAGGCCAGAACUGUGGAGUGGGGAUACUUUAACCCAGUGCUUAAAAAAAAGUUAAAAAAAAGUUUAAGGGUACUCUCAUUCCAUCUGAGAUUCAGGAAACACUGUGACAGGAAAUGUGGCCGCCAUUGGGCAUACCAGUGGAACUGUCGAUUCACCGUGCUAGAGAAGAAACUAUUUUUUUUUUAAAAAAAUAGUUUCUUCUCUCAUUAGAUUCCCGAAAUGUUAAGGGGUAAGCAUACUCCUGUGUUCCCGCAGAAAAAAAGCACUGCUUUAACCCUUUGACCAGAAUUCUCUCCACCCACCCAAUGCCAUUCAUGGGAGCUUUUCUCUCACUGUGAACAUGGUGAUCACUCCAACUGGGUCAGCAAUGGACGUAAAAGGGACACCCAUGCCACAGACCAAUUCAGUUUGUGGUCCCACACAAGCUCUCCGCUAAACAAAAAUCAGGUGUGCAAGGCUGAACUAUGAGAUAAACCUUGUGCCUAGUUGUGCCCAGAGACAAUAUACUUCUGAACACUUCAGACUCUGGGGAUGAAGGAUGAGGAAAGGGCAUCACCUUCAUAUUCUGUUUACAUCUGGCACAGCACUGCUAGAAAUACAAUAGUGAAGAAGAAGUUGUGGUCUGAUCCAGAAAGCCAAAUGUUAUCUUCUGAUAUUUGCAUGUGGUUAUGGACCCAGCCAUAGGUACGUUUACUGGAAACUGCAUAAAUGCAGGAUUAUACAACCCUGCAACUGAGUAUCCCAGGAUGCUUUCAUCUGAAAACCUGGACACCCCUCCCUACUACUCAACCAGUCUGUUACUGGAGGACUUUUACCUCCCUCAUCCCCUACAUGGAGAAAUCAAAUGUUUUCAACUGAAACUGGAUGUUUCUACAGUGAUUUUUUUUUUCUUUAAAAAAAAUGUUUAGGGGUAUUCACAUUUUGACUCAGGAAAAUCACCAUUUUAUAGUUCAGAUUGGGAAAAACAAAUACAGUAAAUGGACAGAAGUACAAAGAUUCACAAAAUGUUUAGAGGUAUGUGUCCCCUCAGAAAAAAAGCACUGUGUUUCUAUGUCCACAAUGAAGAAGGAAAAACCACAGACAUUUACAUACACCUCUGGUGAAAGGUACCAUUAUAUAUUGCAUGUGGUUAAUAACAACAACACCUACUACUUUAUCAUUUUAAACAGGAAAUUUUAGCUAGCUUGUGUUGCAAUCUCCUGUUGACAGAUCCCUUCUUUCAUCUCUGGCUUUCUUGAAGAUAAUGUUCUACUUGAUCCGUAAUGCUUUUCAUUGCUUGAUUCGCCCUCCGCCUCUGUAUUUUUUCCCUAAUAUCCUUUGAAUGCAUUCUUUCAAAAUUCUUGUACUUUGUGCUUUGUUCUUCUUUUUCCUUUCUUUCAGAUGCUCUAGCUACGUAGAGAAUGUGUGGCUGCUCUCCUAGGGUUUGCUUUAAAAUCCACUGAAGGCAAUGAAACUCUUCAAAGGCUUUCUCUCAGGCCCUUAAUUAUGUCCUUUUCCUGCAGGAAGAAGGCUGUGUAUGAGCCUCCAUGAGCUUACACCAUUCCCCACGGCUAUCAUAUCAUGAUCCACCUGCCUUCAUAGCAAAAUAUUUCACUGACUUUCUGUCCAGCACAGAUUCUUCUGCUCAUUGAGUGGUUUAUGGCCAAUCCUUUCUUUACAGGAAUUUGGUGAGCAAGAUACAUAGUUCUUAUCUCCUGUCCAUGAAGGUUAUUGCUGAAGUGGUUGGUUCAGUAGAAUUGUGUGUGUGUUUAAAUAUAAAUACAUAAAAAGAAA
Podarcis lilfordi (Lilford's wall lizard) is the source of this 3425-nucleotide non-coding RNA. Lineage: Eukaryota; Metazoa; Chordata; Lepidosauria; Squamata; Lacertidae. The record is from the annotation of a GenBank genome assembly.